Molecule: ribosomal RNA, 497 nt
Filed under: uncultured bacterium
Lineage: Bacteria
Description: partial 16S ribosomal RNA
Rfam family: Bacterial small subunit ribosomal RNA
Source: RNAcentral
GAUGAACGCUGGCGGCGUGCCUAAUACAUGCAAGUCGAGCGAACAGACGAGGAGCUUGCUCCUCUGAUGUUAGCGGCGGACGGGUGAGUAACACGUGGAUAACCUACCUAUAAGACUGGGAUAACUUCGGGAAACCGGAGCUAAUACCGGAUAACAUGUUGAACCGCAUGGUUCAACAGUGAAAGACGGUCUUGCUGUCACUUAUAGAUUGAUCCGCGCCGCAUUAGCUAGUUGGUAAGGUAACGGCUUACCAAGGCAACGAUGCAGAGCCGACCUGAGAGGGUGAUCGGCCACACUGGAACUGAGACACGGUCCAGACUCCGACGGGAGGCAGCAGUAGGGAAUCUUCCGCAAUGGGCGAAAGCCUGACGGAGCAACGCCGCGUGAGUGAAGAAGGUCUUCGGAUCGUAAAACGCUGUUAGUAGGGAAGAACAAAUGUGUAAGUAACUAUGCACGUCUUGACGGUACCUAAUCAGAAAGCCACGGCUAACUACGUG